RNAcentral lists this ribosomal RNA (497 nucleotides) under uncultured bacterium. RNAcentral's name for it is "partial 16S ribosomal RNA". It matches the Rfam family "Bacterial small subunit ribosomal RNA", at positions 899 to 1397 of the family's 1533-position model. The record is from RNAcentral.
ACUCAAAUGAAUUGACGGGGGCCCGCACAAGCGGCGGAGCAUGUUGCUUAAUUCGAGGCAACGCGAAGAACCUUACCUAGGUUGAACUACGCUGGAAAAGCCGUAGAGAUACGGUGUCCUUCGGGGCCAGCGAUAGGUGGUGCAUGGCUGUCGUCAGCUCGUGUCGUGAGAUGUUGGGUUAAGUCCCGCAACGAGCGCAACCCUUGUCCUAUGUUGCCAGCGGAUUAUGCCGGGGACUCGUAGGAGACUGCCGGGGUCAACUCGGAGGAAGGUGGGGACGACGUCAAGUCAUCAUGCCCCUUAUGUCUAGGGCUGCAAACAUGCUACAAUGGCUGGUACAAAGGGCUGCUAUCCCGCGAGGGUGAGCGAAUCCCAAAAAGCCAGUCUCAGUUCGGAUCGCAGUCUGCAACUCGACUGCGUGAAGUCGGAGUCGCUAGUAAUCCCGGAUCAGCUACGCCGGGGUGAAUACGUUCCCGGGCCUUGCACACACCGCCCGU